This 254-nucleotide ribosomal RNA is filed under the name uncultured bacterium. RNAcentral's name for it is "partial 16S ribosomal RNA". It matches the Rfam family "Bacterial small subunit ribosomal RNA", at positions 524 to 776 of the family's 1533-position model. The record is from RNAcentral.
UACGUAGGGUGCGAGCGUUGUCCGGAAUUAUUGGGCGUAAAGAGCUUGUAGGCGGUUUGUCGCGUCUGCCGUGAAAAUCCGGGGCUCAACCCCGGACUUGCGGUGGGUACGGGCAGACUAGAGUGUGGUAGGGGGAGACUGGAAUUCCUGGUGUAGCGGUGAAAUGCGCAGAUAUCAGGAGGAACACCGGUGGCGAAGGCGGAUCUCUGGGCCAUUACUGACGCUGAGGAGCGAAAGCGUGGGGAGCGAACAGG